This 333-nucleotide ribosomal RNA is filed under the name uncultured bacterium. Its description in RNAcentral is "bacterial SSU rRNA". It matches the Rfam family "Bacterial small subunit ribosomal RNA", at positions 568 to 898 of the family's 1533-position model. The record is from RNAcentral.
CUCGUAGGCGGCCACUCAAGUCGAAUGUGAAACCUCGAGGCUUAACCUCGAGCCUGCAUUCGAUACUGGGCGGCUAGAGUCUGGUAGGGGGAUCUGGAAUUCCUGGUGUAGCGGUGGAAUGCGCAGAUAUCAGGAGGAACACCGGUGGCGAAGGCGGGAUCCUGGGCCAGUACUGACGCUGAGGAGCGAAAGCGUGGGGAGCAAACAGGAUUAGAUACCCUGGUAGUCCACGCCGUAAACGAUGGGCGCUAGGUGUGGGAGGUCAUCGACUCCUUCCGUGCCGCAGCUAACGCAUUAAGCGCCCCGCCUGGGGAGUACGGCCGCAAGGCUAAA